This 66-nucleotide transfer RNA is filed under the name Ripeacma umbellata. RNAcentral describes it as "tRNA-Arg". The record is from RNAcentral. Lineage: Eukaryota; Metazoa; Arthropoda; Insecta; Lepidoptera; Oecophoridae.
AAAUAAGAAGCAAUUUUGCAUUUAAUUUCGACUUAAAAGAAGGACUUAAAUAAUGUCCCUUAUUUA